AACGAACGCUGGCGGCGUGGAUAAGACAUGCAAGUCGAACGGUAAUCUGGGGAUAGCAAUAUUCCCAGGUUAUAGUGGCGAAAGGGUGCGUAACACGUGGGCAAUCUGCCGUAAAGUUGGGAAUAACUCGCCGAAAGGUGAGCUAAUGCCGAAUGUGGCUACAAGCAGGCAUCUGCAGGUAGCUAAAGCCAGGGACCCUUCGGGGCCUGGCGCUUUCCGAUGAGCCCGCGGCCUAUCAGCUAGUUGGUGGGGUAACGGCCUACCAAGGCAAAGACGGGUAGCUGGUCUGAGAGGACGACCAGCCACACUGGAACUGAGACACGGUCCAGACACCUACGGGUGGCAGCAGUCGAGAAUCUUUCUCAAUGGGGGAAACCCUGAAGGAGCGACGCCGCGUGGGGGAUGAAGGGCUUCGGCUCGUAAACCCCUGUCAUUCGCGAACAAGGUCGGCCAUUGAAUAGGUGGCCGAAUUGAUGGUAGCGAAAGGGGAAGGGACGGCUAACUCUGUGCC
RNAcentral lists this ribosomal RNA (511 nucleotides) under uncultured bacterium. RNAcentral describes it as "bacterial SSU rRNA". It matches the Rfam family "Bacterial small subunit ribosomal RNA", at positions 29 to 509 of the family's 1533-position model. The record is from RNAcentral.